GAUGAACGCUGGCGGCGUGCCUAAUACAUGCAAGUCGAGCGAACAGACGAGGAGCUUGCUCCUUUGACGUUAGCGGCGGACGGGUGAGUAACACGUGGAUAACCUACCUAUAAGACUGGGAUAACUUCGGGAAACCGGAGCUAAUACCGUAUAACAUGUUGAACCGCAUGGUUCAACAGUGAAAGACGGCCUUGCUGUCACUUAUCGAUGGAUCCGCGCCGCAUUAGCUAGUUGGUAAGGUAACGGCUUACCAAGGCAACGAUGCGUAGCCGACCUGAGAGGGUGAUAGGCCACACUGGAGGUGAGACGCGGUCCAGACUCCUACGGGAGGCAGCAGUAGGGAAUCUUCCGCAAUGGGCGAAAGCCUGACGGAGCAACGCCGCGUGAGUGAAGAAGGUCUUCGGAUCGUAAAACUCUGUUAUUGGGGAAGAACAAAUGUGUAAGUAACUAUGCACGGCGUGACGGUACCUAAUCAGAAAGCCACGGCUAACUACGUG
Molecule: ribosomal RNA, 497 nt
Filed under: uncultured bacterium
Lineage: Bacteria
Description: partial 16S ribosomal RNA
Rfam family: Bacterial small subunit ribosomal RNA
Source: RNAcentral